CAGCCGCCGCGGUAAUACGGAGGGAGCUAGCGUUGUUCGGAAUUACUGGGCGUAAAGCGCGCGUAGGCGGUUACUCAAGUCAGAGGUGAAAGCCCGGGGCUCAACCCCGGAACUGCCUUUGAAACUAGGUGGCUAGAAUCUUGGAGAGGUCAGUGGAAUUCCGAGUGUAGAGGUGAAAUUCGUAGAUAUUCGGAAGAACACCAGUGGCGAAGGCGACUGACUGGACAAGUAUUGACGCUGAGGUGCGAAAGCGUGGGGAGCAAACAGGAUUAGAUACCCCAGUAGUCCCUGUCUCUUAUAC
RNAcentral lists this ribosomal RNA (301 nucleotides) under uncultured bacterium. RNAcentral's name for it is "partial 16S ribosomal RNA". It matches the Rfam family "Bacterial small subunit ribosomal RNA", at positions 509 to 807 of the family's 1533-position model. The record is from RNAcentral.